RNAcentral lists this transfer RNA (66 nucleotides) under Marmota monax (woodchuck). Its description in RNAcentral is "tRNA.Asp". Lineage: Eukaryota; Metazoa; Chordata; Mammalia; Rodentia; Sciuridae. The record is from RNAcentral.
GUUGUGGCUCAGUGGUAGAGUGUCUGCCUAUCACACAUGAGGCACUAGGUUCGAUCCUCAGAAACA